RNAcentral lists this ribosomal RNA (304 nucleotides) under uncultured bacterium. RNAcentral's name for it is "partial 16S ribosomal RNA". It matches the Rfam family "Bacterial small subunit ribosomal RNA", at positions 509 to 807 of the family's 1533-position model. The record is from RNAcentral.
CAGCAGUCGCCGCGGGAAUACGAAGGGUGCAAGCGUUAAUCGGAAUUACUGGGCGUAAAGCGUGCGUAGGCGGUUUGUUAAGUCUGCUGUGAAAUCCCCGGGCUCAACCUGGGAAUGGCAGUGGAUACUGGCAAGCUAGAGUGUGUCAGAGGAUGGUGGAAUUCCCGGUGUAGCGGUGAAAUGCGUAGAGAUCUGGAGGAAUACCGAUGGCGAAGGCAGCCAUCUGGCCUAAUACUGACGCUGAGGUACGAAAGCAUGGGGAGCAAACAGGAUUAGAGACCCCCGUAGUCCCUGUCUCUUAUAC